CCUUCCACUUGUCCAAAUGAGAUGAAAUUUGACAUGCUUACCAUGCUAUGUGUUAGGUUUGAUCAUGAUUUAUUUGGUGAUUUUUGGAAAAUGUUUAGAUUGCUUUUGAGUUAAGUCUUGCUGUUGACUUCUGUGAGCUUCUGUUUGCCAUGUUUUGACCUAAUCUGUUCAUGAAAUGAUGAUAGUGUUUGAUAUGAAUGUGAACCCAAUUGGUUUUGUUUCUUGAAUGUUUAAACAUGAUUUUGG
This 246-nucleotide long non-coding RNA is filed under the name Lathyrus oleraceus (garden pea). RNAcentral's name for it is "Pisum sativum (pea) long non-coding RNA (PSAT_LNC031789)". The record is from RNAcentral. Lineage: Eukaryota; Viridiplantae; Streptophyta; Magnoliopsida; Fabales; Fabaceae.